CAAUAGCGUAUAUUGAAGUUGUUGCAGUUAAAAAGCUCGUAGUCGGAUUUUGGCUGAGAACGAACGGUCCGCCGUUAGGUGUGCACUGUUUGGUCUCAGCUUCCUGGUGAGGAGGUGUGCUUCACGGCCACUUAGUCACCGUGGUUACUUUGAAAAAAUUAGAGUGUUCAAAGCGGGCUUACGCUUGAAUAUAUUAGCAUGGAAUAACACCAUAGGACUCCUGUCCUAUUUCGUUGGUCUCGGGACGGGAGUAAUGAUUAAGAGGAACAGUUGGGGGCAUUCGUAUUUCAUUGUCAGAGGUGAAAUUCUUGGAUUUAUGAAAGACGAACUUCUGCGAAAGCAUUUGCCAAGGAUGUUUUCAUUGA
Molecule: ribosomal RNA, 365 nt
Filed under: uncultured eukaryote
Lineage: Eukaryota
Description: partial 18S ribosomal RNA
Rfam family: Eukaryotic small subunit ribosomal RNA
Source: RNAcentral